CCUACGGGAGGCAGCAGUCGAGAAUCAUUCACAAUGGGGGAAACCCUGAUGGUGCGACGCCGCGUGGGGGAAUGAAGGUCUUCGGAUUGUAAACCCCUGUCAUGUGGGAGCAAAUCAAAAAGAUAGUACCACAAGAGGAAGAGACGGCUAACUCUGUGCGAGCAGCCGCGGUAAUACAGAGGUCUCAAGCGUUGUGCGGAAGCACUGGGCGUAAAGCGUGCGUAGGCUGUUUUGUAAGUCGUGUGUGAAAGGCGCGGGCUCAACCCGCGGACGGCAGAUGAUACUGCGAGACUUGAGUAAUGUAGAGGGAGGCGGAAUGCUCGGUGUAGCAGUGAAAUGCGUAGAUAUCGAGAGGAACACUCGUGGCGAAGGCAGGUUCCUGGACAUUAACUGACGCUGAGGCACGAAGGCCAGGGGAGCGAAAGGGAUUAGAUACCCUUGUAGUC
Molecule: ribosomal RNA, 446 nt
Filed under: uncultured bacterium
Lineage: Bacteria
Description: partial 16S ribosomal RNA
Rfam family: Bacterial small subunit ribosomal RNA
Source: RNAcentral